Molecule: ribosomal RNA, 486 nt
Filed under: uncultured organism
Description: bacterial SSU rRNA
Rfam family: Bacterial small subunit ribosomal RNA
Source: RNAcentral
AUUGAACGCUGGCGGCAUGCCUUACACAUGCAAGUCGAACGGCAGCACGGGUGCUUGCACCUGGUGGCGAGUGGCGAACGGGUGAGUAAUAUAUCGGAACGUGCCUUGUAGUGGGGGAUAGCUCGGCGAAAGCCGGAUUAAUACCGCAUACGAUCUUAGGAUGAAAGCGGGGGACCUUCGGGCCUCGUGCUAUAAGAGCGGCCGAUAUCAGAUUAGCUAGUUGGUGGGGUAAAAGCUCACCAAGGCGACGAUCUGUAGCUGGUCUGAGAGGACGACCAGCCACACUGGGACUGAGACACGGCCCAGACUCCUACGGGAGGCAGCAGUGGGGAAUUUUGGACAAUGGGCGAAAGCCUGAUCCAGCAAUGCCGCGUGUGUGAAGAAGGCCUUCGGGUUGUAAAGCACUUUUGUUCGGGAAGAAAUCCCUUGGGCUAAUACCUCGGGGGGAUGACGGUACCGGAAGAAUAAGCACCGGCUAACUACGUG